CCCGGCUCCCCCUCCGCCGUUGCCAUGGGCUGCGGUUGCCACGAGUUACCGGAUGAAGGCUGGGCGGCCCCGCUCCCUGAGUAGCGGGCGCGGGGCGGAGCGGGGCGGAGAGCGCGGCGGCGCCAGUGCCAUCUGGAGGUGAAGGGAGUGAAGAGAAACCAAGGUGCAGAAAUGGAAAGAUGUUCAUAAAGCUAAUCAUAACUUCACUCAUAUAUGUAUAUGUGUGUGUUUACUAUGUGUUCACAUGGAGACCAAACACUCAAUACAUUCUGCAAGUCAUUUAAAACCAUCCUGAAAGCAGAUAUACAAAUAACUUUUACUUGGUUGUAUCCUUGAAGAAUUUGUUUUCUCUUAAAAAAUAACUGCUGCUUUUUCCACCCCCUCUGAACCGACAGGUUAGACUGCUUUUUAAUUGCAAGAUUCAAGCAAUCAAAAUGUAAAAUAAAUUCUGCACUACCCAUAAGUGCUAUGCUUUCCUGCUCAAAAUACUCUUUCUUCAAGGGAAUACCCAAACAUUUGUCACCAGAUGGUACUAGUAGUAUUAAGUGCUGGUAUAGCAGUUGCUCUCUGGAGGCUUUUGCUGUCCUGGGGCUCACUAUGUGAAGGGCUUGACAUUUAAAAGGUAGACUUGGCUUCAAAGACUUAAAAAAUGAAAAUUACAAACCACCACCUAACAAAUUAAAAAGGCAAGAGGAAGGGAGGAGCGUCACAACAUUAAUACUCGGAUGUCUCCGCGGAGGCUGGACGCGUGCGCAGUCUCGGCACAGCAGGAGCGCUCUCAGCGCUGCUUCUGCACUUUCACCGCAGCCAGGGCCAGGCAGGGCUGUGCUUACAGCGAUGGAAAUCAGCGCUCCUGGAAGAGUCACGGCUCACGGCAAUAAUUCCUAUAAACUGACUGAGCAUAUUGAAGAGAACAACAGACCUUCUAUGCACGCCUGCAAGAAGAACGAAAGGCUAAACCCUGCAAGUCUUGAUCCCAUCAGUAGUCAUUACUUGUCAGAGAUUUCACUCCUCUUGGCCAGAUUGCUCACAUGCAUAAUGACUACUUAUGUGAUUAAGGGGGCUGCAAGAUAAGGCUCUACAUUAGAAUUAGAGAUAAUAAAGUAAUUUUUUAUUCACAGACAUGUGAAUCUUUUUAAGCUUUCUGUAAAUGCUCGUGAUCUCUAGACCUUUAAAGAAGAAAGACUGAAAAACAUCACAAGCAGAAGAAAUAAUGUCAUUUUUGAGGAAAUGCUGGAUACUAUAUGAGGAAUAUUUAUAUUUUCCUGUGUUAUGGCAAAAAUAUUUACAAAAGAAAAAAAGCAUGUAUUUUUUCUUAUUUGGACAAGGUCCAAAAUCUGGUUUUCUUCAACAUGAUUUUAUUAUGUAUAUUAUACACUGUUCUGCUGGAGAAAAACAACAUAUGGCUGAACAGUACAACUUAAUCCUAACUAAAGAUUUCCUGUAUCUACUGUAACCUAAUACAAUGACAGAUGCAUACUUGAAUGUGUGUGGAAGGUUAACACUCCGAUUUUGUUUUCAACAAAUUUACUCUGCCCAUUUACAUCAGCUCACAAGAGCAAGGGAAAAACCCAAGGAGCUGAGAGAUGGAUGACAGCCUGUGCUGUGGUGCCCUCUACUGAGCAUCCAGCCCCUCAGCCCCAGCCCACACCAAACAAAGCCCCAGUUUCCUCUAAAAAGGCUGACUGUGUUUCUUCCUUCACUUUUUAUAAGGGAGGAAAUGUUAUUGAUAUCAAGCAACUGUGAAGCAACUGUUGGGGAUGUGAUAAUGCGUGCGGUUAGGAGAAGAUUGAGCCACAUGUGCCUGCUACGCAUUUUUCCCUCACCAGAUAGGAAAUACCAGCAAGGCUCCACUGGAGAGAGGAAAUUUGCCCAAGGUGGUUCCACCUGCCCCACAAUUGCCAAUGCUCCUGCCUGAGCCCCUGGUGGGGGUAAGCUGCAUCUCCCACUUUCCACAUCACUGGGACAGCACCCAGUGGAGACACCUCCAGAAGAGACUGCUGACCCAGCACCAGCUGCAGCUCAUGGGACUGCAGUAGAAAAGGCAAGGAGGUGCUUGACACCAGACAACUUCAGAAAAUGGCUCUGCCUUAGGCAGAUGAAUUUUGGGUGGCUUCCUCACUCUGGCACCCAGCAAGCCAAUGCAUGGCCUUCUGCAGGAGCCACACUGUAAAUGCCCUCUCUUCCCUGUGGAUCUAUGCAUUUAAUUUCUCCAAACUCUGUGUCUUCCACCCCAUCAUAAACUGCGUAUCUGAAAAGUAAUUGAAGAGUAAUCCUUCUUCCUAAAUCAUGUAAGUUUUUGGGAUCCAACUAUAUUCAAUAAAAAAAAAAGUCAUCAAUUGAACUCAACUUCA
Lonchura striata (white-rumped munia) is the source of this 2354-nucleotide long non-coding RNA. RefSeq lists it as uncharacterized. NCBI's taxonomy places the organism in Eukaryota, Metazoa, Chordata, Aves, Passeriformes, Estrildidae. The record is from RefSeq and is a predicted model, not a curated record.